RNAcentral lists this ribosomal RNA (253 nucleotides) under uncultured bacterium. RNAcentral describes it as "partial 16S ribosomal RNA". It matches the Rfam family "Bacterial small subunit ribosomal RNA", at positions 524 to 776 of the family's 1533-position model. The record is from RNAcentral.
UACGAAGGGGGCGAGCGUUGUUCGGAUUUACUGGGCGUAAAGGGCGCGCAGGCGGCCAUUCAAGUCAGGCGUGAAAGCCCCGGGCUCAACCUGGGGGCUGCGCUUGAUACUGAUGAGCUUGAAUGCGGGAGAGGAUAGUGGAAUUCCCAGUGUAGAGGUGAAAUUCGUAGAUAUUGGGAAGAACACCGGUGGCGAAGGCGGCUAUCUGGCCCGUAAUUGACGCUGAGGCGCGAAAGCGUGGGGAGCAAACAGG